UUAGAGUUUGAUCCUGGCUCAGGACGAACGCUGGCGGCAUGCCUAAUACAUGCAAGUCGAACGCUGAAGCACUCUGCUUGCAGAGUGCGGAUGAGUGGCGAACGGGUGAGUAACACGUGGGAAAUCUGCCUAGGAGUGGGGGAUAACAUUCGGAAACGGAUGCUAAUACCGCAUAUCUUUUUGAACCGCAUGGUUCUUAAACGAAAGACGGCUUCGGCUGUCGCUCUUAGAUGAUCCCGCGGCGUAUUAGUUAGUUGGUGGGGUAAAGGCCUACCAAGACCAUGAUACGUAGCCGACCUGAGAGGGUGAUCGGCCACACUGGGACUGAGACACGGCCCACACUCCUACGGGAGGCAGCAGUAGGGAAUCUUCCACAAUGGGUGAAAACCUGAUGGAGCAAUGCCGCGUGAAUGAAGAAGGUCUUCGGAUCGUAAAGUUCUGUUAUUAGAGAAGAACAAGUCAAGGAGUAACUGUCUUGACUUUGACGGUACCUAACCAGAAAGUCACGGCUAACUACGUGCCAGCAGCCGCGGUAAUACGUAGGUGACAAGCGUUGUCCGGAAUUAUUGGGCGUAAAGGGAGCGCAGGCGGUUGGAAUAGUCUGAUGUGAAAGUCCACGGCUUAACCGUGGAAGGUCAUUGGAAACUGUCCAACUUGAAUGCAGAAGAGGUAAGUGGAAUUCCUUGUGUAGCGGUGAAAUGCGUAAAUAUGUGGAAGGAACCCCAGUGGGCGAAAGCUACUUACUGGUCUGUAAUUGGACGCUGGAGGCUCGAAAAGCGUGGGGA
This 785-nucleotide ribosomal RNA is filed under the name uncultured bacterium. Its description in RNAcentral is "bacterial SSU rRNA". It matches the Rfam family "Bacterial small subunit ribosomal RNA", at positions 1 to 767 of the family's 1533-position model. The record is from RNAcentral.